GAGGGUAUAGCUUGGUGGUAGAGUGCAUGCCUAGCAUGCACAAGGUCCUGGGUUCAAUUCCCAUUACCUCUG
This 72-nucleotide transfer RNA is filed under the name Camelus bactrianus (Bactrian camel). It matches the Rfam family "tRNA". From Rfam's summary of the family: Transfer RNA (tRNA) molecules are approximately 80 nucleotides in length. RNAcentral also lists the same sequence under 3 other names. Lineage: Eukaryota; Metazoa; Chordata; Mammalia; Artiodactyla; Camelidae. The record is from Rfam by way of RNAcentral.